AGGUAUGGCAGGAAAACUGGAACAGACCAGUACACAUCGGAAGAAAAGGGCGCUUUAAAUACUGAUUAGAAGGAGUAGGCAUCUUAAGAGACAGACUAAAGGGACUCUUGCCUCAUCAGACUGAGUUACUGUUCUGAGCAUGAAGGUGAUUGGAGAAGAAACACAGGAUGGCAGUCAGAAGAUGGGUCACCUUCUCUCUGUGGGGCUCAGGCAAUGUCACAUGGAUAUCCUCAACAUAAUUCUUACAGGAUAACAAAAGGGAUAUCCUCAGCAUAAUUCUUACAGGAUACUAAAAGUGCCCUAGAACACAUGUUUCCUACA
This is a long non-coding RNA of Peromyscus eremicus (cactus mouse), 321 nucleotides long. RefSeq lists it as uncharacterized. Lineage: Eukaryota; Metazoa; Chordata; Mammalia; Rodentia; Cricetidae. The record is from RefSeq and is a predicted model, not a curated record. The transcript has 2 exons.